This is a long non-coding RNA of Numida meleagris (helmeted guineafowl), 11269 nucleotides long. RefSeq lists it as uncharacterized. Lineage: Eukaryota; Metazoa; Chordata; Aves; Galliformes; Numididae. The transcript is spliced from 7 exons. The record is from RefSeq and is a predicted model, not a curated record.
CACACACAUGUUUACAAUCUCAAAUCUCCACUUCUCUGAGCGGGUCUGGGCUGGGAUUCGGAGUCACCGCAAAUGAGAGAUUUUUCUUCCAGAUUUGGCCACAGUUAAGGCGAAGAGAGGAGGGAAGCGGGAGCACCUUGGACGGGGCGCCUCGGCCCUGUCCGCCGCGGCGGCGGGGGCUGAGGGGCUGAAGAGGAGAUGCCGAGGGAGCCAAGAGCUCUCCUUCUCCCUCCUAGCGGCAGAGCGAGCGACAAACUUGCCCCACGCCACACCAGACAGCCCAAACCCUCUGAGAACGGGGAGAAAAUCUCGUGUAUAGCUCCCGCGACUCCUCCCACUCACUCUGCGCGGCUCAGCAUCCACAAACUUCCCCGGGACUUCCUAUCCCUCGUGGAGAACACAAACGGCCCUUAGCCACGGCUCUAAGAAGAGCGUGACACGGUGCCGGCAAUUCAUAGGGAAAACCUGGGAUUUUCUGUUUAUUGAAAACACGACAGAAGGGGUGAAAGCAGCUGAUGCGCUGCGAGAUUUCAUCAUCUCGUGGCAGAUCGAGGGAGUCGGGCCCGACGCCCCCGGGCCGGGCCAGGAGGACUUCACCUAUCGACAGGACGCGGUUGGAGGGGAUGGGUCGGGAGCCGCAGGAAAAAAAAAAAAAAAAAGAAAGAAAGAAAAAUACUUUAAAUCGGCCGCGAUUAAAGAUGCAGCCGAGCCUCUUUGUGCGGUGAAGUGCUGCAGGUAAACGUUUCUAUCUGGCAGAAUUGUUUUGCCCGUUAAAAUAUAGAAAUAAAAUCAAAGCAUCACCAUCAAAACCGGUUCAGGUCUGAGUCGGCUUCGGUCAAGGCAACGCCUAUGGAAGCUCGGGCUCGCUGCAUCGAGGCAGGAGAUGCUCGAAUUUAUUUUCUUUUAAAAAGGUGUAAGGAAUGGGGGAUGGUGGCAGAGAAUAUUUCUCAGAACACCGGGAGAUACCUUUCUUGAAACAAAGGCAAAGGGGGAUAAUCUCAAUUGCAAAUCCAUCAGGCAGAGAGCAAAUAACAAUAUUUAUAGGAAGGCGUUCGAAAACAAGUAACAGCAGCGAACGCUAUCUGCAGUUGCUGCAGAGCAGCUUAAUAAAAAAUUAGCCUCACUGACAGUCUUGUCAACAUCUUAAGUAAAUUAUCAUAGCGAUGGUCUUUGGAGAAGAGAACCCACACUCCUCGCUAAAACACCUCCUAUCAUUAAUCUUAAACCACUUGAAGAUUAUGAUGGAAAGAAUGGGAUCAGUAACCAUUAUCAUCUCCAAUUGCUGUUAAAAACUCCGCUGCUUAUUUUUGCAACCAAAGCAAAUGUAACUAGGAAAUGCAGAAAAGGGAAGAAAGGCAGACACUGAGAGGCAGAACAAUUGAGGCGAAUCCCGUUGCAACCUCGAUGAUAAACACAUGGAAAAGGCUGUGACUGCUCUGCGGAUUGCUGGAAUUUGGGGAGACAUUAGGAAAAUAAACACAUCGAUGGCUCCGCACCAGCGGUACAUGCAGUGAAAGGUUACACAGAAACUUUGCUUUCCCAUGAGCUCCGGACAGCAAAAUGCUGCUUGAGGAGACCGCGAGCCGCUUUCCGGGCUGCUGCUAUAAUUAAGUUAGGUGUGGCGAUCCCAGAUCCGAGGGAGAAGGAAAUGAUUGAUACCGCCAGAACCCCCUUCCCUUACGCAGCCCCGAGCAGCGCCCGGCGCAGGCUGACAAACUGCUGCUCUGUCCAGAGAUCACACAGAGGGUCUGAUACUUUUUAUUUUCUUGCUUGCACCACGGGAGAACUUUCGUCUGAGAAAGGAACAAAAGAAGCCAGAAACAUGACAGAUUUCAUCAAGAGAGCUGUUCGCAGAUUAAAAGGCAGGGACCCAGGGAGACUUUGCAGAUGUUAAUACAGCCCAUUGGAUCAAACAAACAUUGAUCCAGACUCGCAUCUUCAAAAAUCAGGCAGAAGCUCACCAGUCAGUAAGGUCUUGCAAUAUGAAGAGAUUGUAAGGUACUCCAUACGUCUUAAUUGUGGGAUUAGACUGUUGUAGUGAACAUUAACAUGCUACUCACAUUAACAUUUUGGAAGGAAACUGUUAAUCCUUACAGUGCCAAAGAAAUUGUGGUCAAAGUUUUCUCUAGCAUUAAUGGAGAUCACCUGGGUAUGCCUUUUGGAAAACAGUGCAUUUUAGCUUUCUGAGAAGUUAGUUCACUAUCCACCUGAAAGAAGUUAGAGCAAAUAAACAAUGUUCCAGCUACCUUACUUAUUUACCUUACCUACUUGAAGAUAAAUCCAAGUUUCUCUAAAAUAUAAGGAUCUUACAUUGCAUAACCUUCUCAAUACAGGACAGAGUGAUGUAAGGCACCCUGGAUGAUGGGUAGAAGUAAGUGAAAGAAUAAUUGCAUUCUGAAAUGAACAAUAUGAGAAGCAUUUCUACGUUUUCCUCAGAAAUUUAAUAAAUUCCUUUCUGAUGGAGGAAAUCCAAUAUUCUAUACCAACUGUUGCAUCUACAUAUUUGUCUUUUGCAAGAAACUUUCAUUCAAGGUUAGCACCCUAUUUUACCAUUCUUCUACAAGUGAGUUAUUGUGUUCAUGCUUCAAGCAGCAGAAUCUUUCCAUUCUACUUCUAUUUAAGUAGUGCUACUUGUAUACACCAGUUAAGACAGGGCAAAAUUAUUGCACAGCAUACUUUGAGAAAAGGAGACUGUUUGCAUUACAGAACUGUUCCAUAUAUUGUCUUUGUAAACAACACUUCCUGAUUAAACCCAGGCCAAAAGAUGGCAUUUUCUGAGGUACUUGCUUGUUAACUCAGUUUCCCUGAAAAAAAAAAAACCCACCAAAAAACACCUUAUCCCCACUAGUUCACUCUCCAGACACUGUCGAUGCAAGGUUGCAGUUGCUUGACUCUACGCAUUUGAAGCUCCAGAUCAAAGCUGAGAGGAGUGACUGAGGUUAUUUCAAAUAUUUUGUUAGAUUCAUAGCAGCCCUCUCAAAGGAAUGUUUGGCUGCAAACUACCUCUUAUGCUGGGUGACAGAAAACAUGAGAAAAGCUUUUGAGUAGAGUUAGAUUGAGGUCCAGGCAGCCGUAAGUGCUGGUCAACUCAUGUUGCCACUAGGUGAUUAAUAGUUGUUUAUUUUCAGGGCUGGAAGUAACAGGCCAUCUUACGGCCAGUGCAGGAUGAUACCUGAAUAAUCUGUGAGUGCCUCAGAGGCUGCAGAAAUCCUCUCUCUUUGUGCAGCUGCUUUAUCUGUGACAAUGCUAGCCAGAGUGAUAGGACAUGCCAAAAGUGCACUUAAGAGGGGACAUGCAAGUGCUCUCACAGCAAUUUAUUUGUUUUAUAAUUACUGUAAAAUGGGAACAAACUAAUUUUAAAAGUAGUUCAGCAAAUUUUGAUAGCAAAAGUGUUGAUAAAUGAACGCACUAUAUACCUGUGUUUAGCACUUGUUGAAUAUAUAUCCUGGAACCAGUAUUAAAGUUCUCAAGAUAUUGCAAAAAAAUUAUUAGACAAUAAUAUACAAUAAAAAUAUACAUUGUUUGUUUUAUAUUGUGUGUAAUGGAUGAAUUAACAAAUGCAGGAUAAGUUGUUUGUGCGUCCAGCUUCCCAGAUCAGAGAAUUAGUCCAAGAAUGGAUAGUAAAUCACACUAUCUUCACACAAUGUUGUUUAGCAGUUUAACUGCCAAACACUCCAUUAUGCAUAAUUGACAGGCAAAAAUAUUUUGUGUGAUGCUGUACUUAAAUUUACUGCCUCUGAAAGUAUAAGUCACCUACUUGUAUUAAGCAGGGAACAGAUGAAAAAGAAAAUACUAUAUCUGCUUCCCAUUAUUAUAGUACCUCAUGUCCACCCAAAAGGACCUCUUCCAAUGCAGAAGAUAUUCUUUAGCAUCUUUGGAAUCUGCUGGCAAACUUUAAUUGUGCCUGGUGUCAACCCUCUUCCUUAUGAAUUUAUCACUUUUAAUGCCUGAGACCCUUCAGCUUGUAUCCAAGUUGGUACAUUAAACUCAGUGUACGUACAACCCCAGUUGGCUCUGCCCCAAUUUGUAUUUGCAAAUAACUUAAUUGUUAGUAAAAAUGUAUCCUAAGUUAAGUCUCAUGUAGCAUCUUGAAUAACCUGCAAAAUAUCCAGUCCCUCUCCAGAAAACAAAACUAUAAAAAAAAUUUCACAAGGAUUUAGAUGGAGAAUAUUCCAGAGACUUCAGGACAUAAGGCUUUUCGCAGAAUUAUGACAGUCAUUAUUAGCUCAAAAUGGUGCAUAAGCGGGGAUGUGCAAAGAAGGCCUCCUGUCCUUCCCACAAGGAGCAGCUUUUUUGUCUUCUUUCUCUUUAUACAUAGACUAUAUAUAUAUAUAAAGACAUACACACACACCAUACGUAUCUGCCAGCUAAACACAGCACUAUGUGCACCUUCUGAGAAAUUCACACUGUUGUUUAGAUUUAUGUACAAGUUACUUAUUUUUUCUUAGUAUAUACCAACACUAAUAACAAUUUCAUUUCAACUUGGCUUACUACACAAUGACCAUUUUUAACUCAACAUUAAAAUAGCAAAUUCUGUUCACAAGAAAGAUACACUAAUGCAAGUUACCAUGUAAAGGAGAUCAGAAGGAGGGAGAGAAAGAAUCCAAGGAAAAUACUAUCACUUGUGCAGGCUUAAAAGUAAUAGAUUUGUCAAGAUAGCCAAUGACAUACUACUAUCUAUGUCUAAUGAGAAUUCAGCCAGGAGUCUGCAACACAAUCACAUUAGUAUGAAUAUUUUCCCUCAAAGUCAUGUGCUGAAAAUAGUGGAAAACAAGUUGGACUCUAUUCCUGUGUUCUAUUUAUCUUUGCCAUGCAAUUACUAGAUUGAUCUUGUGUCAAGUCACUUACUCUGUAUAUGACAUUCGUAUGUUAGCUGUUCCCAAAGAUGGUGUGAAUCCCAAUAGCCACAAGGUCAUUGUGUUAAAUAUGGCAAAAUCCUUUUAGACAAGUUCAAAACAAAAUGACUGACUACAUUUUUCCCCCCCAAGGGUUAGUAUAAUAUAAACACCGGCACUAGUCAAUUGGAAGAUAUUGUAAAAAUGGUCGUAUUGAAAAUAGAGUUUAAUGGCAUUGGUGGGUAAGAAAUACAUAAAACUUAUGUGAAAUGUUGCAAUAUUAAUGUUACAUGCAAUACAAGAGUUUUUCUCAGUAAUUGCUGGUUUAGGUAUUUGGUAACUAUUACAUAUUUUUAACAUUUAUUGAAAACACACAUGCACAAAAAAAUCCAUUAAGCAUUGGAAACUUCUAGUACAGAAUAAUAUUUUCACCAUAACUAUUUAUCUUACACCUUUUGUUUUACUUUAAGUAUAUUAUAUUAAGGAAAAUUAUUGGUUGGCAGUCAUUUAAGGGCAUCAAAGAUUGCACUAGCAUUCUCUUUAAAUGAGAUAAAUAGAACAAAUAUGAAUGAUUGAGCUGCUAGUCCUCCCAUUAAGACAAAAGCAAAACUAAUAGAAAAGCAACAAGAAGAAAAGUAAUGAAAUACAGCUUUUCCCUCCAAAGUAAGUUGAGACUGCAAAUCAGCAGCUAGGAGCACCAAGAACAGCUGAACAUCAAUCAACAUUACCAGCCACUCUGAGAUUUGGCUAACUUCCACCAGGACACAGUUACCUUUUUUUUUCCUUCCAGUUCUUACAUUGCCUAAAAGCUCAGAGUAAGUACAUUAAAUGAUAAAAUUUUAUCUACUGUGGGCAGACAUUUCCCUCUCCCUUGCCAAUCAAAAAUGUUGAUAAUUUUUUUUGGUUACUUGUUUCCUUUUUAAAGUGCUUAUUUUCUGUUGUUCUCUCCAUGCAUUUGAUUGUGAUGUCAAAGCAUUCAAAACACAAUGCAGGACAGAGGUUAAACAUGGAUCCUAAAUUCCAUUGUUGCCAUUUUCUUACAGGAACCUUCUGAGAAAGCUGCUUCUCUCACAUACCCAUUUGUCACAGACAGCCACAAUGCAGCAUUAAAAGAGAUGCUGACAUAAGGUUUCCAUCUGGUCCAACCUGAUCACCAAUCACCGUGCAUGCUGAAGAUAGGACUGACACCUUCAACUUGAACUGAGUAAUGGAUGCCCAAUAUUGACAAUAAAAGACACUUAAGCUACUUUCCCUGUUUGCUCCCUCACUUUAUAGUGCUCUUACAACAGAGGGAGUUUUCCUGUCUGGUUAAGCUGGACUGCUGUUAGCUAUGAGGCAACCCCUGUCCCCAGAAAAGUAGUCAACAGAUAAGUGAAAAGGGAGAACAACCAUAAUAUCUCGUUAAAGUAGACAGUCAGUGAGCAUUUAGGCAAUUUCAACUGUAGCUUUCCUUCUACUUCUAGGAUCUCUCCAUAUCGACCCCUAACUUUUACCAGAGAUCUGAAAAAUCUCUUACCGCAACUUCAAGGCGCAGUAUUCUUUAUAAAGUAGCAUUUCUACUACUUUUAAACAACUGAAUUGACUUGGCCUGUGUUCAACAGACCAGUACACAUAACUAUAAGCAGAUACGAAUGGACUCAGUAAGCCUGGCAUCAUCUUCCUGAACAGAUGAAUCGACAGUGGGGUUUGGAGUUUCUCAGCACCAAGCCUGUACCACGUGAAAUUUCUUUACUGACAAAGUUAUUUCCACUAGGUUGCUAACUGGCAUACUGACCAAUUAUCACUUGAAAUAGUAUGGUACUGAUAGUAUUAUUAUUAGCACUACUAUAGUUAGAAAAUACAGCUACCCAAUAAAAACCACCACCAAAACAGCUACACCAUACUCCCUCCCUCCCCAUAAAAGCCCCCACUAGGAAGUAUCUGGCAGCAAGAUGUAUAAAUGGACAUAGACAUAUGUUUCUUUUCUGAAGCCUCUCUCCUUGGAAAAGAGAUCUUGCAUUCGCACACCAAUACCGUAUGUUUUGCCAUGGGGUAAAUAUGACUUAGAGACCUGCAUCUCUCUCCCUUUCCACAACUGCUAAAUCCCCAUUUAACAUUUUUUAAAAGCUAUUUCUAAAGUCAUACCAAUAGACUAAGCAUUAUUUUAGUGAAGUUCAAAGAGAAGAGAGUACAGCUUUGCCUGUCCUACCUGAUUUCACUAUGGCAACAGCAGAAUAACAGUAAAUUCGGGAGAUUAAAAGUGUUAUUUUUCCUAGUGCCGCUGGAAUUAUAAUGAUUCAAGAUUCAUUUGUAAUUUCUUGAUUACCUAUGGGCAAUUUAGAACCAUUCUUUAAUUAACAAGUCAGGCCACAUAUGAAAUGAUAGAAAUGGUAUAGAACAGUACAGAACAGCUUCUAUUUGCUUAAGUAAUGUUUCCACUUCAAUGUACUUAUUUGCUCUCAUUUUCAUAACACUGUCAGUAUUUAGUGCUGCGCAAAUUUAUGGAAAUCUGAAUUAAAGAGCUUUGUGGUACUGAGUGAGUCUUUUUUAAAAAAUACAUACUUAGACUGAAGUGACUUGACUUUCUGAAAUGAAAGAAAUAAUGGAGGAACCACUACACUUUCUUGUGCUGUACUGUGAAGUAACGUCUGUCAUUAACAUAUCACUGUCGGUAAAGUAAGCGGAUUGGUUUUAUCUCACCUUACUUUGCACAAGAGUCUGUCCCAUGCCUGUAAAUAAGGAUGGAUACAAUCUGAUAGAUUUGUAAACUUUUUCCAUGGGCAUUUAAGUACAACUGUGCAUCUGCAACGUACCUUGCAGGAGUUGGGAGACUGUAUAAUAUUUCCAUUAGAAAUAUUGAAAUUUUGAAAUUGCAUUUCAAUUUUUAGAAAACCAACACCCAAAUGAAAUGCUAUAUUUUGGUUGCUACCGUGUAAAUACAUAAUAAACAAAAUUUAAUACAACAGCAGAUGUGGUAAAGGAAAACAUGACUUGCUGAUAGCAAUGUGUCUGGCAGCCGUGACCAAUCACAGAAUGUUUGUUGUUUUAAAUAGUAAAGACCCAGAAAUCAAACCAAACACUUUUAACGAGUGUUCCAGUUAUCUACAUUUAUACUGCAGAUAACUAUUCUGACUUUUAUACAUUGUCUGCAAUUUAACAGUAACAUGCCAGAAGGAUGGCUACAGUACUUUUCGAACAUAUACAUAGAAAUAUGGACCACUAUAAAGAAAUGUUAUUUCCAUUUGCAUUCCCCACAGGAAGAAGGAAUCGAUCUGUGUAACACUUGAUCGUUAAAGGGAAGCAAAGCGACACAGCUAGGGAAAAUACAAAAUAAUCCUAUGAAGAGCUGGAAGAGAUAUUUUCAGGAAAAUUCAACAAUAUAGCAUUUGCUUAAAAGCUUACACAGUCCCCACCUGGAAUCUGUAGUCAGGGCAUUCAAGAAAGAAGUACUGUAAGUGCCACAUGCAGAUCAAGGCUACUGCAAUGUCCAGGGAAAUGAACAGCUAGCCAUAGGAAAGAUGAGGGGAAUUCUGCAUUUGCAGCAUAAGAGAGCCGAGAGGAGAAGCAGUGUAAUUGUUCACUGCUAGUGCACCCAAAGCAGGUCAGUCUCCCAGAUAGGGCAAUAGGACCAAAAUUCUUCAAAUGCUUUCAAAAUUGAACUCAAUAAGUGAAACAAAAGGGCUGUAAGACAUGGCAUUUGACAGCUAGGGACUAGACAGAGUGACAAAAUCUUAGGCAUCUAAAGAGAGUGCAUGAAACUAAUAUACAAAAUACUCUUCUCUUGAGCAAUUAGAAUUGAUAUCACCAUUGCUAACAAAAUUAAAUACAGAACCAAAUAUGUUUUCUUCACCCAAGUAACAAAGAUGAAUGCCUGUAUAAGAUGAUGUAUGUUUAUAAAACAGGAUACGAGGUAUUCCACAUGCAAGAGGCUAGGAGAUUUAAAUAAGCUAAAAUUAAAAAGAAUCUUCUUUUCAAAUGACCAGUAUGAACUUGAACCAUUGUUUAGUUGCUGUGAAAUCCCAGCCUACAGACAUAGCUUAAUAAUUUAGUUUUCAUAAAUAAUAAUGCACUGUCUGAUUUUUAUCAAAGGUAACAACUUCAACUUGCAAAGGUUCUUGAGGCUUGGAAGACAAAUACAUAAAGAUGAGCAAAAUUUUUGAAUUGAAGAAGAAAGUACAACCAUAAUAUUUCUCCUUUUGCUUUCACAAACACAUCAGGAACCUUAAGCUCUUCUGGCUCAGUAUUAUACAGAUUGCUCAUCUAAUCCUCAAGCCUACAACACCAACCAAAUGCACAUCGAAAGAAAUAGAAGCAACCACCAAAAUUCAGAGAUUUUAGUAAGAGCUACUUCAGUAGUUCCUUGUCCUAGUUUUCAAGGAAGGAAUAAGCAAAACCCACACCACUCACAUACUCUGCCAUUUAAAAAAAUACAUUUCAGGGUUCCUCUGAAAGUUCUGGUUCUGAUGUACACACAGUUCCUGGGAGCAGGUAGCCAUCUCCUUGCCCUGACCCACCUGAAGAAGUGAACUCCAUGUCAAUAUAGCACUUCACAAAGUACAGCAAUUGGCAUGUGAAAGCAUAAAGCUCUCAGUGGGGAAUUUUUACCAGCAAAACAACCUCUUACCAGAGGUAAGUGUGACAGGCAGACUGCCUAGUCAUUGGGUAUGAUGCAGGACCUGUCACAGACAACAAACCUGCCUGCAGUAAAAAUGAAUGCUGAAUAGGAAUGAAUGCUUUUGCUUACAAAUAGAGAUUAAUUUAACAGUAAAACUAAACAAAGUAAUAGCAACUGAAUCAAAUGUGACAGCAAAAAAACUCAUUUUAUGCACACACUUUAUUACAGUUCUUAAGUUUGUGUUUGCAUAGCUAGUGAAUUUAUGCUUCAGCAUGCCUAAAACUGAGUUACAGAGAAACAUGCAGUGGUAAUUUUCUUUACAGUCACCUACCAACUGGAUGAGUAAAAAAAAAGAGGGCAACUGUUCAGAAAACAAGUAGCAUACACUCAGCUUCUUAGUCUUCCCUGUCAAGUCCCAUAUGCAACAGAAAUGUUUACAGGAAGGAUGAGCCCUAAAACUUCCAGUAUUCAAACUCUGAAGAAAGAACCACCUCCAUCUACUUCCAGGUUCUGCUUCUAACAAGAAUCCUUUUCACGGAAUGUGCUUUUGGGAUAUUUAAGCAGCAACAAAAAACAAAAACAACAGAAGAAACAGGAGAGAAAAAGAAAAGAAAUAGAGAAUAUAUAGUAACAGUGGAAUUUGUGAAGAAAAAAGAUGCAGAAAGAUACAUGAAGCAGUGGUGUGGAACAUCAUACAAUAGUUAGGAUAAAGAGGAAUGGUUUUAAACUAAAGGAAAGGAGAUUUAGAUUAGAUAUCAGGGGAAGUUUUUUUACUGAGAGAGUGGUGAGGUGCCGGAACAGGCCCAGAGAGGUUGUGGAUGCCCUGUCCCUGGCCAGGUUGGAUGGGGCCUUGGGCAAUCUGAUUUGGUAUGCCAGCAACCCUGCCUGGAGCAGGGAGGUUGGAACUUGAUGAUCUUUCAGGUCACUUUCAACCCAAGCUGUUCUAUGAUUCUAUGAAUAGUUAAGAUAAAAAUCCCCAAAGCAUUAUGUUAGAAAAACAACUAAGCCACAGUUCUCAUUCAGCACUAACUGGCACUUGCUAACAAACUUUCAAUGAAGGCUAUCAAGAAAGAAGCAGAUGCUGAACAACAGCACCUAAGUGUUUGCCCAUUUCCAAAAAUAUAAAUAGUAUAAAAUAAGUUAUAAGAGGAGCAAGCAACUACCUUUUCUUAGUUUGUACACAGGACUAAGUAAAAUGUUAUCUAUACUUAGAUUUUUUCCGUAAAACCAAUUCAACAAUUUUACUGUAUUAUCAGGUGUAUUUAAAUAGAAAGCUCUUAAUUUACAAUAAAUAUUUUAGUUUUAACAUUACAGUACUUUUGAAAUCUGUUUAUCAUUUGCAAAUUCCAGUGCUUUGAGAUGAAUCUGAAAAAUUCAGCAAUGCUGGACUAACUUACAGGUAAAUGGAAUAGAAAGCUUUAACUGUUUACAUAUUUUUGUCAUUCUAAGUGAAUAAGUUUAAGAGUAAAUAAUUUUAAGAUACUGUCAGAAAGGUAAGAUUGCCGGUUUAGCUUUCCCAAUGACUAGAAAGUAGAACAGUCCGUGAAUUGUAAAAUGGAAUGCAAAUCUUUAAAAUAUUAAUUGGACGUAGAAAGUCAACUCGAUUAUUUUGUGAAAUUUCUGACUUUUUACUUUAUGUUAAAAAGGUCAUCUUAAAACACUGUCUUACUUGAAGAGUAGUUACUACAAUGCUACCUUUAGAAUAAGCAAAUGGUAAAUACUUGGCUCUCAGAAUAAUCUUAUGGGAAAUGUGUAUUGUGUUUACUGUUAUUUGAUGAUGAAAUGUCAGACUGAAAUAUUUCUAUAUUAAAUUACUCCAUUCAAUAAAAGCAUCAAUACA